ACUCGAGUGGCGAACGGGUGAGUAACACGUGGGUGAUCUGCCCUGCACUUCGGGAUAAGCUUGGGAAACUGGGUCUAAUACCGGAUAGGAGCCAUCUUUAGUGUGGUGGUUGGAAAGUUUUUCGGUGUAGGAUGAGCUCGCGGCCUAUCAGCUUGUUGGUGGGGUAAUGGCCUACCAAGGCGGCGACGGGUAGCCGGCCUGAGAGGGUGGACGGCCACAUUGGGACUGAGAAACGGUCCAA
Molecule: ribosomal RNA, 241 nt
Filed under: uncultured Actinomycetales bacterium
Lineage: Bacteria; Bacillati; Actinomycetota; Actinomycetes; Actinomycetales
Description: partial 16S ribosomal RNA
Rfam family: Bacterial small subunit ribosomal RNA
Source: RNAcentral